This 245-nucleotide long non-coding RNA is filed under the name Dunaliella salina. Its description in RNAcentral is "long non-coding RNA (DSAL_LNC000398)". The record is from RNAcentral. Lineage: Eukaryota; Viridiplantae; Chlorophyta; Chlorophyceae; Chlamydomonadales; Dunaliellaceae.
UUUUCUUUCCUUUCCUUUCCUUUCCUUUCCUUUCCUUUCCUUUCCUUUUCUUUUCUUUUCUUUUCUUUUCUUUUCUUUUCUUUUCUUUUCUUUUCUUUUCUUUUCUUUUCUUUUCUUUUCUUUUCUUUUCUUUUCUUUUNCUUUUCUUUUCUUUUCUUUUCUUUUCUUUUCUUUUCUUUUCUUUUCUUUUCUUUUCUUUUCUUUUCUUUUCUUUUCUUUUCUUUUCUUUUCUUUUUCUUUUUUUC